ACGAGGAUUAGCCUACUUCCGUUUUCACCCUUUCCCUGCACACUGUCUCAUUCUACAUGUAUUAAAAAUUGGUAUGUUACUGUUAUAUUAAUUCUGCACGAACCUACAUGUAGAGUUGUUGUAGGAUGGGUCCUUAUAUCUACUUAGCCUACAGACGCUAGGUCGUUUCGGGAAAAAGGACAGUUUCAAUAUUGGAUGUAUAUGCAAAUCACCCCGAAAAAGAUCAUGUAAUAACAAAAGAAAUUAUAAAAGAAAAAAAUGGAAGAAGAAAUGGCUGGAAAAAAUGAUGAUAGAGCAGCUUUUUCUUGUUACCCACCUCGGACGAUCAAGUUGGAAAGGGCUAUUGAUAUUGUGGAGACGUUUUCUCACAGAGCUUGCUUAUCAGACAAAGACUAUUUAACUACAUCAGAAAGAUAAAGACAGUUGGAAUGGCUAUUCAUAUUGUGGAAACUUUUCUCACGGAGCUCGAUAAUCAGGCAAAAUGCUGGAACACCAUUGAAAGAGUAUUUGCUGUAUGAUAACAACAAGAAAACCCAAGCAUCAAUUUAUUUUAUACUUCUGGGAAAGAAUGCAUUUGACCCAAUUUUUAAAUAUUUAUUUUUUGUUAUUAAUGUUAAAUUUUCUUCCAAAACACAAUUAGAUUUUAAUUCUCUUCAGAAAUGUAUGUAUAAUAUAGCAAGUAAAGUGACAUAUAAAUCAUAAAGUAUUUAAUAGGCAUUACUAGAAACCAAAUGUAGAUCAAAUACACCCAGAAUUACAAAAAACCUUGACCUACAUAAAGGUGACUUUCCCUUGCUUAUGAAAUGAAAUACGGUUUAGUAUCCUACUUUUCUGUGUUCUUAGAGUGAUUCUGCCCUACACCCUACUCUUAUAUCAAAUAUUUCAACUGUCAAGGGUUCUUUAACGGGAACCCGGGGGGGCAAUGAUUAACACGCACACAUUUGAUCAGAAAGUCUGUCAUUGAGUCAAAUAAUUCAAUUGUCAAGGGUUCUUCUAAGUGACCGCAGUGGGGGUGGUUUCGAUUCCGGGGUUGGGGGAGGGGGUGGUGGAUGGCCGAAUGGUAAGCACGUGCGUGCUGUAUCAUACGGCCUGUCAUUGAGUCAACUGGCGUGGUUUUGAAUCCCCGGUUGUACGUGACAAGGAGUAGGGUCGCCUGCCCAAUCUUGUGGGUUUUCUCCGGGACCUCCGGUUUCCUCCCACUGCUAAAGACCCCUAUGCGCAACGAAUUAUUGAAAUAAAAUUAAACCAUAUGUUAAUCCCGAAAUGACCUAGUUUGUGUCAAGUGGACGUUAAACCCCAUUUCUCUCUCUCUUGCUUUCGAUUCCGGGUUUGUACCCAAUUAUCCCUUGCCAUAUCCAACACUACUGACAAGUGGGAACUAUGCCGGAAAAUCCAGUUGAACUUUCUCGGCCAACACCUUAUACUCACUGAACCACUGUGGCUUAUGACUUGUGAUUGUAUAUAAAUUUUUUGUACAUAAGAUAUUUUUUUAUUUCAAUCCUGUAAUCUUGAUGCUUUGCUUCUUUUAUUUACAAAAUAUUCAUUUUGUUUGGGUUUUUUUUAAUGAGGAAAAGGUUUUACAUCAUUUUAUUACUCCUGCAAAAUAGUGCAUUUUUCUUUUGUUAGUUUUCUGUGUAUAUUAGUUAUUUCUAGAUGUCUCACAAAUCACUUGUAGUGUGAUUUUGUGGCACUUUUCAGUUUUUGAAAUUGUUUCAAUUUAGUGCAUAAUUAAUCUUAGUGCUUGGUUUCGAUGUUAUUAAAUUUAGAUAUAUUUGAAUUAUAUAUUUUGGAGUAUGGGGUAGGGAUACUGUGUACAUAUCUUUAUAUUCUCAGUUCUUGUUUUGUGGUGAAGAACAAUUUAUAUAGCUAUUUUAUAUUUUGUGAUAGGUAACGUGUGUGGGGUUAAGAACAAUUUAAAUAGCUAUGUUAUAUUUUGUGAUGGGUAAA
Long non-coding RNA from Patella vulgata (common limpet), 1947 nucleotides. RefSeq lists it as uncharacterized. Lineage: Eukaryota; Metazoa; Mollusca; Gastropoda; Patellidae. The record is from RefSeq and is a predicted model, not a curated record. The transcript is spliced from 5 exons.